Molecule: long non-coding RNA, 1993 nt
Organism: Pogona vitticeps (central bearded dragon)
Lineage: Eukaryota; Metazoa; Chordata; Lepidosauria; Squamata; Agamidae
Source: RefSeq, a predicted model, not a curated record
GUUUUCUGCUGCAGGCUAGAGGGAUCAAAACUCAAGCAGCAGCUCGAGUAGCCUUUUAAUGAUAAAAGCAGGCAGCAAACUGGAGAUGCUCUUUGUGGACAAAAUUAGCCAUGCAAGGAAAGGAGGUUUGAAAGUAGUCCAGAAUGAUCUUAUCCAAUUCUUCUGGAAAAUCUCCCUAUCCACGGAAACUGCCUUGGCUGGAGCAGCCAUUACAGGAUGAGCUGGUUUUUGUCUUCAGCGCUGCCUGUCCCUGAAGAUCUAUGAGAUUCCUGGUAGAUUCAGCUAACGGGAUGAACAGAUACAUAUACAGACCUGUCACUGACGGUAUCCUCUAUAAAUUCCAGCCAUCAACUACUGAUCUUCAGAGGUGGAACCAGAGAAAAGGAAGGAAGGAAGGAAAUCUGUGGGCUGGAAUGCAACUUAUAUCACAUCCACUAUAAACUCUCGAAUCAAUCUGCAGACCCCUGGGACUCCACUCCGUGCCUUGAUACUGCAACAAAGACGGCCUCCCUGAUCUCAAGGUCCUCCAGGAUCUCUUUCUCCUGGUAAAAGGUGAACAGUCUGAAACAACGUGGAAGCAUCUGAUGUACAUGAUUUGGAAGAAAAAAUGUGGGAUAAAGUUCAUGUUUGCUUUGCUUUUCCUUCCUUUUGCCAAGUUCUAGUGGUAACUAAAACAAACAAAAUACUUCAGAACUUGUUCAUUCAAGGACCUUUGUUAUCUUUAAGAAUUAACAUUUACUGAAAAGCCUCAAAGUGCACAGCACUUUAAGGCUUUGCAUCCACCUUGCCUUCACAACAACCUUGUAAGGAAAAUCUUCAUUGUUCCCAUUUUACAAACAAUAAUUUAAAUAGGAGAUGAAAUUACUCCCUUUGCCUUAUACUGUUAGGAAGCAGCACCAAAGCACUUAGCAAGUGACCUGAACAGGAAGGCGUAGGGACAGACAAAACCCUGGCUGCCUUCUCGCCUUUUCUGGAGCUAUGUUUAGACUUAUCUAAAAUGUGUCUAAGGCUCACUUUCUUCUUCUUCCCCAGAGAUCUCUUUAUUUUUCUUUCUCCUUCUUGGUAGGAGGGGCAGACGUACACAGCUUCCCCACAGUGGAAAAAUAGACCAAAGGCACAGAAGUUCGCUAUGAGGGUUACUGUAACCAAGUUUAAAGCUCAAUUUCCUGCCUUCUUUCCGAAUGGGCUUCCUGAAUAAGUUUUCAAUUUUUUUUAAUGAGUUUCCAGAGUAGUUCAUAUCCUCCAGCUCAUACCCUAUCUCACUGCACCCCAGCUGACUCCACCAUAAGCCACAAUGAGGCAAGUGCCUCAGGCUUAUGAAAGGGCAGCGCAUGGCUUCGCACUAUUUGUAUUUUUGCUACCAGUGAAUGAGCAACCUGCUUGUGGAGUUUUCUUCUGCAGGUAUCAAAAUUACCAAAAUCACUGGGAUGUUAUGCAUUUUGUCUUGGCUGUUGGGGUUGGUGGCAUUUGCUUUUCUUUCUCAGACAGCAAAAUGUCUUGGGCUGGCCCUGCCCUGAAUUUUGCUGGUAUAAAUACCAAUAGCCUCACCUAGACAGUAUUCAGAUCCCCUACUCUACGUAGCACUCCAACUGUGUACCUUGCAUGCAGGUGAAACUAUUUUGCCUCAGAGCAAGCCACAUUUCCAUUCCCUUAGCAACAUAAAACACAAAAAUGCUAGUUCAAUGUAGUUCACACAACCUUUUGCUGUGGCAAAAUGCCCAGUUAAAUGACUACCUGAUUGCUUCACUAAACAACCCAAUUAUAUUCUAUUGUUUUUGACCAAGCACAGUUUAGCUGCAGGGUGGUACACAAAAGACCACAUCCUGCCAUGCUUUGUAAAGGUCCUGUGCAUAAGACCACAAACUAUCCUAGAUUAAUUUUUUUAAAACAUAUCUACAAAUUCAUGGUAUCACACACUGUGGAGUAGAUACAACCCAAACCAUAAAAAUCAUUAAAAUCCACAGAUAUUUUAAUGUCAUUUCUACAAACGGAG